AGCCAAUCUAGAAACUUGUAUAGUUCAAUUUCUCCUGUAAAAUCUUCAUCAGCAGCAUGUUCAGAAGGGUAUUGUUGAUACUUGAUGGUCAUGUGUGCUCUAUGAAUUGGAUCAGCCACUAUGAUAGAACAUUAUGACAUACCGAAGGCUUUGAUACCAAACUGAUGUAGGAUAGUGGAUGAAGGGUAUGUAUAAGGGUUUAGUCGAGAAGGUCCAUUAAUU
This 222-nucleotide long non-coding RNA is filed under the name Elaeis guineensis (African oil palm). RNAcentral's name for it is "long non-coding RNA (EGUI_LNC015277)". The record is from RNAcentral. Lineage: Eukaryota; Viridiplantae; Streptophyta; Magnoliopsida; Arecales; Arecaceae.